GUCCAGACUCCUACGGGAGGCAGCAGUAGGGAAUCUUUCACAAUGGGCGAAAGCCUGACCCAGCAACGCCGCGUGAAGGAAGAAGGCUUUCGGGUUGUAAACUUCUUUUGACAGGGAAGAGCAGAAGACGGUACCUGACUAAGGAGCCCCGGCUAACUACGUGCCAGCAGCCGCGGUAAUACGUAGGGGGCAAGCGUUAUCCGGAUUUACUGGGUGUAAAGGGAGCGUAGACGGCGGUGCAAGCCAGAUGUGAAAGCCCGGGGCUCAACCCCGGGACUGCAUUUGGAACUGUGCUGCUAGAGUGUCGGAGAGGCAGGCGGAAUUCCUAGUGUAGCGGUGAAAUGCGUAGAUAUUAGGAGGAACACCAGUGGCGAAGACGGCCUGCUGGACGAUGACUGACGUUGAGGCUCGAAAGCGUGGGGAGCAAACAGGAUUAGAUACCCGGGUACUA
This 451-nucleotide ribosomal RNA is filed under the name uncultured bacterium. RNAcentral's name for it is "bacterial SSU rRNA". It matches the Rfam family "Bacterial small subunit ribosomal RNA", at positions 329 to 797 of the family's 1533-position model. The record is from RNAcentral.